RNAcentral lists this long non-coding RNA (855 nucleotides) under Homo sapiens (human). RNAcentral describes it as "HSALNT0386461". Lineage: Eukaryota; Metazoa; Chordata; Mammalia; Primates; Hominidae. The record is from RNAcentral.
CAUUGAUUUAACCUACACGUGCUGUUGCAAAGACUGUUCUUAACAACUACUUUGUAUGGGAAUUACAGAGAUCUCAAGAAAGAAGAAAAGUGGAAAGGGUAUAUAAGAAAGGGAAGGAAAGAAAGAAGAAAGAAAGGGAGGCCAUGAAAUAUAAAUGAGCUCUAUUAAACGUUGGCUAAGCAUCAUGCUAAAUGAUUUAACACUUUUACCAUUUUAUCGUCUCAAAAGCUUAUCAUGUGCCUAUUAUUGUACACAUUUUGGAGGUUUCGUAAAGGCAUCACAGCUUAGUUACAAUCAUUAAUGCUGGACUUGCCAACUGAGAGGUGAUUGUAAAGGCUUUCAAAACAGAAGCAUAUCUGUAUCUCCAGCAGUGUGUUUCCAGUCACAGAAGAAGCAUUCAAUAAAUUAUUUUGAAUGGAUGAAUUCAGCUAACACAGUCUCUAUAGCCAGUUGUCUAAGUCAUUAUCUAAAGCAUAUGGUAAAAUUUCUUAUUUCAAAAACAGAACAGUAACAAUUGAAGGCUUUUCAGAAAGAAUAAAACAUUUGAAGGAGGUAACUAAUCUAUCAGGCUUUUUAAAAAAAUAUUUGAUUCUUUGUUCCUACUUCGUCCUCUGGUUUCUCAACACUUAAAAUGCCAGAGUUAGCUAGCUAUAUAAUUCUCACAAAAUCCAUUCCCUUUAACAUGAACUCUUUACCAACAAAUAAAAGAAUGCCUAAGCACUUAUCGAUCAUUUCCAGCUAGUCAGUAAUCAAUUCUAAUGGGGAGACAAAGACAGUGGUGGAAUUAUUUUCACUUCUUAAAUGGACCCAAAUUCAUUGAGCAUCUUAAAGAAAAAAUUAUCAUCAUUUGUUUAU